GAUGAACGCUAGCGACAGGCUUAACACAUGCAAGUCGAGGGGCAGCAUUGUAAUUAGCUUGCUAAUUACAGAUGGCGACCGGCGCACGGGUGAGUAACGCGUAUGGAACCUGCCCUUUACAGGGGGAUAGCCCAUGGAAACGUGGAUUAAAAUCCCAUAAUACUUUAUUCGGGCAUCCGAAAGGAGCAAUCCGCUAAUAGAUGGGCUUGCGUCUGAUUAGCUAGUUGGUGGGGUAACGGCCUACCAAGGCGACGAUCAGUAGCCGGACUGAGAGGUUGAACGGCCACAUUGGGACUGAGAUACGGCCCAG
RNAcentral lists this ribosomal RNA (310 nucleotides) under uncultured bacterium. RNAcentral describes it as "bacterial SSU rRNA". It matches the Rfam family "Bacterial small subunit ribosomal RNA", at positions 28 to 334 of the family's 1533-position model. The record is from RNAcentral.